GAUGAACGCUGGCGGCGUGCCUAAUACAUGCAAGUCGAGCGAACAGACGAGGAUCUUGCUCCUUUGACGUUAGCGGCGGACGGGUGAGUAACACGUAGGUAACCUACCUAUAAGACUGGGAUAACUUCGGGAAACCGGAUCUAAUACCGGAUAAUAUUUCGAACCGCAUGGUUCGAUAGUGAAAGAUGGCUUUGCUAUCACUUAUAGAGGGACCUGCGCCGUAUUAGCUAGUUGGUAAGGUAACGGCUUACCAAGGCAACGAUACGUAGCCGACCUGAGAGGGUGAUCGGCCACACUGGAACUGAGACACGGUCCAGACUCCUACGGGAGGCAGCAGUAGGGAAUCUUCCGCAAUGGGCGAAAGCCUGACGGAGCAACGCCGCGUGAGUGAUGAAGGUCUUCGGAUCGUAAAACUCUGUUAUUAGGGAGGAACAAACGUGUAAGUAACUGUGCACGUCUUGACGGUACCUAAUGAGAAAGCAACGGCUAACUACGUG
RNAcentral lists this ribosomal RNA (497 nucleotides) under uncultured bacterium. Its description in RNAcentral is "partial 16S ribosomal RNA". It matches the Rfam family "Bacterial small subunit ribosomal RNA", at positions 28 to 507 of the family's 1533-position model. The record is from RNAcentral.